This 408-nucleotide ribosomal RNA is filed under the name uncultured bacterium. RNAcentral describes it as "partial 16S ribosomal RNA". It matches the Rfam family "Bacterial small subunit ribosomal RNA", at positions 28 to 526 of the family's 1533-position model. The record is from RNAcentral.
GACGAACGCUGGCGGCGUGCUUAACACAUGCAAGUCGAACGAAGUGGAGAACGGGUGAGUAACGCGUAAUCAACCUGCCCUUCAGGGGGGGACAACAGUUGGAAACGACUGCUAAUACCGCAUACUGAAGGGGGGGAUUGAGUCGGAUUAGCUAGUUGGCGGGGUAACGGCCCACCAAGGCGAUGAUAAGUAGCCGGUCUGAGAGGAUGAACGGCCACAUUGGGACUGAGACACGGCCCAGACUCCUACGGGAGGCAGCAGUGGGGAAUCGUCCGCAAUGGACGAAAGUCUGACGGAGCAACGCCGCGUGAGUGAUGACGGCCUUCGGGUUGUAAAGCUCUGUUAAUCGGGACGCGGUACCGGAAUAGAAAGCCACGGCUAACUACGUGCCAGCAGCCGCGGUAAUUC